GGGGGAUAUUGCACAAUGGGGGAAACCCUGAUGCAGCGACGCCGCGUGAGUGAAGAAGUAUUUCGGUAUGUAAAGCUCUAUCGGCAGGGAAGAAAAAAAUGACAGUACCUGACUAAGAAGCCCCGGCUAACUAC
This 134-nucleotide ribosomal RNA is filed under the name uncultured bacterium. RNAcentral describes it as "partial 16S ribosomal RNA". It matches the Rfam family "Bacterial small subunit ribosomal RNA", at positions 356 to 504 of the family's 1533-position model. The record is from RNAcentral.